This 61-nucleotide transfer RNA is filed under the name Pyramimonas obovata. It matches the Rfam family "tRNA", at positions 8 to 63 of the family's 71-position model. Rfam says of the family: Transfer RNA (tRNA) molecules are approximately 80 nucleotides in length. The record is from RNAcentral. Lineage: Eukaryota; Viridiplantae; Chlorophyta; Pyramimonadophyceae; Pyramimonadales; Pyramimonadaceae.
GGAUAGCUCAGUCGGCAGAGCGCAAGACUCUUAAUCUUGUGGUCGUGGGUUUUAAUCUUGU